RNAcentral lists this ribosomal RNA (490 nucleotides) under uncultured bacterium. RNAcentral describes it as "partial 16S ribosomal RNA". It matches the Rfam family "Bacterial small subunit ribosomal RNA", at positions 28 to 507 of the family's 1533-position model. The record is from RNAcentral.
GAUGAACGCUCGCGAUAGGCUUAACACAUGCAAGUCGAGGGGCAGCAUGGUCUUAGCUUGCUAAGGCUGAUGGCGACCGGCGCACGGGUGCGUAACGCGUAUGCAACUUGCCUCACAGAGGGGGAUAACCCGUCGAAAGACGGACUAAUACCGCGUACACUCUAUGUUGGGCAUCCAAUGUAGAGGAAAUGAAAUUCGCUGUGAGAUAGGCAUGCGUCCCAUUAGCUAGUUGGUGAGGUAACGGCUCACCAAGGCGACGAUGGGUAGGGGAACUGAGAGGUUGAACCCCCACACUGGUACUGAGACACGAACCAGACUCCUACGGGAGGCAGCAGUGAGGAAUAUUGGUCAAUGGGCGAGAGCCUGAACCAGCCAAGUCGCGUGAAGGAUGACUGUCUUAUGGAUUGUAAACUUCUUUUAUACGGGAAUAACAAGAGUCACGUGUGGCUCCCUGCAUGUACCGUAUGAAUAAGCAUCGGCUAACUCCGUG